AGCUACAUGCUAAUCCCUUUGAAUCUGGAGCUGACUUAGUCAUGUUUCUGCCUUCAGAGAGCUACCCAGUGGGGGAGAUGGACAUGCAGGGGAUGAGGCACCAGAGAGAACAUGACAGUCUCUGCCCUCAAGGAGCUUGGAGUCAAGAGAAAAGGGAGACAACUAAGCAAAAAUGCAUGAGGAGAUGAAGAGCAUGGGGGAAAUGAGGAAGCCCCUGUCCAGCCUGGGCGGGAGGGAGACGGUAAGGAAGUGGUAAUAGCAGAGACCUAUUCUGAGGAGUCCACUGUACCUGUGAAGAGCCUUGUCUGGCACAUGCUCCAGAAGUAUUCCAGGUGUACAUGGACGGAGGCCCUGGAUACUCGUACCCUGUCGACUGGUGGUCCCUGGGCGUCACAGCCUAUGAGCUGCUGCGGGGCUGGGUAAGACGGGCACCUGUGCGGUGCACACGAGGGGCUGUGCAGUGGGGGCUCAAGUUGUACCUGGACAGGCAGAGUCGGCAGGGCACACAGUGCAGGAAGGAGCACUGGUGGAGUCACCGCCCCCCAGGUUUCAGUCUUGAUGCCUGUGUGCCGCCUAUGAAUGCCCUGAGCUUUCUGGUCCAACCCUCUCAUUGUACAGAUGGGAAAGAGGCAUCCAGAGGGGGAGGGUCUUACACAAAGGCCCACAGCGGAUCAGUGACAAGGUCAAACAUCAAAGCGCCUUGGCCUCGUGGUUUCAAACACUGUCUUCUUUGAACCCACAACACAAGGUCUCCAUGUCUGAUUUUCUAGCUGAUUGGGAAAUCUUUAAAGGUGAAGACCAUGCUUCUUUUUUCUGUUUCACAUCUUCCCUGAAUAUGUAACUCAGUGUCCUAUAAAAAUGGGACAUUCAAUAUGUAUUUGUAUUUACUGCAUUUAAAUUUACUAGCUGAAGAUGAUUAAUGGGGCUAUUUGGUGGCUGUAAUAACACAUUUUUUUAUUUGAGCAG
Molecule: small RNA, 966 nt
Filed under: Pongo abelii (Sumatran orangutan)
Lineage: Eukaryota; Metazoa; Chordata; Mammalia; Primates; Hominidae
Description: retained intron
Source: RNAcentral